This 356-nucleotide unclassified non-coding RNA is filed under the name Melitaea cinxia (Glanville fritillary). RNAcentral describes it as "misc RNA ENSMCXG00005020915.1". The record is from RNAcentral. Lineage: Eukaryota; Metazoa; Arthropoda; Insecta; Lepidoptera; Nymphalidae.
UUUAACCGACUUCCAAAAAAGGAGGAGGUUCUCAAUUCGACUGUAUUUUUUUUUUUUUUUCUUUUUUUUUUUAUGUAUAAUACAAUUUACUAUGCAAAAUUGAAAUCUAAGCUGGCCGCCGCUACCAAAUGUCUGAUAACAAUUUUUUAUCAAUCCCACCAAUAUGGGUAUCAAAUAAAAGGGCUUGACAAGAAGAAUACAGUGCACUAUACAACCUCAAUAUUUAAGAUGGGCCUUGCAAUAAUGAAGCACUAAAUGAAUUAAACAGAAUGCGAAAUAAAAACUAAAAACUAGAAAAUAAAAAUAGGUAAAAAAACUUUUUAAGUUAAACGGUUUUAUGUUAAACAUACAUUGCA